CUGGAACUGUGUCCGCAAGGACACAACCCCAGAUACCCUUUGUGAACUUAUACCUUUAUAUCGUUGCCUCGGCGCUGAGCUGGGAGCACAUUGUGUGCUCUCCCAUGAUUUUCCGCUUGUCGGAACGUUAUGGAGCAAGCCCGCCGGCGGCCCAUUUAACUCUUUAUUUUUAUAAUUAUCUCUCUGAGUUUUUAAACAUAAAUGAAUCA
RNAcentral lists this unclassified non-coding RNA (209 nucleotides) under uncultured Ascomycota. RNAcentral describes it as "sequence contains ITS1". The record is from RNAcentral. Lineage: Eukaryota; Fungi; Ascomycota.